Molecule: ribosomal RNA, 435 nt
Filed under: uncultured bacterium
Lineage: Bacteria
Description: partial 16S ribosomal RNA
Rfam family: Bacterial small subunit ribosomal RNA
Source: RNAcentral
AGCGAACGCUGGCGGCAGGCUUAACACAUGCAAGUCGAGCGGGCAUCUUCGGAUGUCAGCGGCAGACGGGUGAGUAACACGUGGGAACGUACCCUUCGGUUCGGAACAACUCUGGGAAACUGGAGCUAAUACCGGAUACGCCCUUAUGGGGAAAGGUUUACUGCCGAAGGAUCGGCCCGCGUCUGAUUAGCUAGUUGGUGGGGUAACGGCCUACCAAGGCGACGAUCAGUAGCUGGUCUGAGAGGAUGAUCAGCCACACUGGGGCUGAGACACGGCCCAGACUCCUACGGGAGGCAGCAGUGGGGAGUCUUGGACAAUGGGCGCAAGCCUGAUCCAGCCAUGCCGCGUGAGUGAUGAAGGCCUUAGGGUUGUAAAGCUCUUUUGUCCGGGACGAUAAUGACGUUACCGAAAGAAUAAGCCCCGGCUAACUUCGUG